GGUUUGUGCUGCACUCAGAAGACUGCCUAAACCUUAUGUAUAGCAGGUUGCUGCGUGCCUGGCACGGUGUAAAUAUUGUUGCAUAGUGGACUGGAAGCAGGCACUAUACAUACAACUUGUAAAUACUCCGCUAGUAGUUUGAAAUGUAGACGUUUAUGACAUGCUAUCUUAACAUUCACUCCAUGCACCCCCACUGGAGAAAUGGUUAUGGUAGAGAACCUUUUAAUCCUGUAUGAAUUCAUACUGGUGGUGUUCAGUAGAGAGUCUCAGCUAAUUACCACUGCCCAUUGUUGCCUAAUGCUUCCUCGGCUUAUAAGGACCUGUUUGUUGGUAAAUGUAACCUUAAAACAUCAAAACACAGUUUUAACACUGAAAAGGAUGGAUGGCUCCAGUUACUAUAACAACGUAAAUGAGAUUAAGUGGUUACAAUAUUUUGAGUGUCCUUUCAGGAUCUACAUUAUUAUCCUUAAAGAUGCUGUGCUGGUGUAGAAUGUCCUGCUUAAUUUGCAUACAGCCCUGUAAUUGCUAAAUGAGCAGAACAUUCCCUUGUUAAAAAGAACUCAAGUACUUUAGCUUCCUGAAAUACUUUGCUUGAAAGCCAGGGGUGUAGCC
This is a non-coding RNA of Pelobates cultripes (western spadefoot toad), 612 nucleotides long. The record is from the annotation of a GenBank genome assembly. Lineage: Eukaryota; Metazoa; Chordata; Amphibia; Anura; Pelobatidae.